This 474-nucleotide ribosomal RNA is filed under the name uncultured bacterium. Its description in RNAcentral is "bacterial SSU rRNA". It matches the Rfam family "Bacterial small subunit ribosomal RNA", at positions 335 to 801 of the family's 1533-position model. The record is from RNAcentral.
ACUCCUACGGGAGGCAGCAGUAGGGGAAUCUUCCACAAUGGGCGCAAGCCUGAUGGAGCAACACCGCGUGAGUGAAGAAGGGUUUCGGCUCGUAAAGCUCUGUUGUUAAAGAAGAACACGUAUGAGAGUAACUGUUCAUACGUUGACGGUAUUUAACCAGAAAGUCACGGCUAACUACGUGCCAGCAGCCGCGGUAAUACGUAGGUGGCAAGCGUUAUCCGGAUUUAUUGGGCGUAAAGAGAGUGCAGGCGGUUUUCUAAGUCUGAUGUGAAAGCCUUCGGCUUAACCGGAGAAGUGCAUCGGAAACUGGAUAACUUGAGUGCAGAAGAGGGUAGUGGAACUCCAUGUGUAGCGGUGGAAUGCGUAGAUAUAUGGAAGAACACCAGUGGCGAAGGCGGCUACCUGGUCUGCAACUGACGCUGAGACUCGAAAGCAUGGGUAGCGAACAGGAUUAGAUACCCUGGUAGGAUAGCG